RNAcentral lists this ribosomal RNA (450 nucleotides) under uncultured bacterium. Its description in RNAcentral is "bacterial SSU rRNA". It matches the Rfam family "Bacterial small subunit ribosomal RNA", at positions 28 to 475 of the family's 1533-position model. The record is from RNAcentral.
GAUGAACGCUGGCGGCGUGCUUAACACAUGCAAGUCGAACGGGGCAAGGGACCAAAGACCUUCGGGCCGGCGGUUCCAAAGCCUAGUGGCGGACGGGUGAGUAACGCGUGGGCAACCUGCCCCAUACCGGGGGAUAACAGCCGGAAACGGCUGCUAAUACCGCAUAAGCGCCAAAUGCCGCAUGGCAUGGGGCGGAAAACUCCGGUGGUAUGGGAUGGGCCCGCGUCUGAUUAGGCAGUUGGCGGGGCAGCGGCCCACCAAACCGACGAUCAGUAGCCGGCCUGAGAGGGCGGCCGGCCACAUUGGGACUGAGACACGGCCCAGACUCCUGCGGGAGGCAGCAGUGGGGAAUAUUGCACAAUGGGGGAAACCCUGAUGCAGCGACGCCGCGUGGGUGAAGAAGUAUUUCGGUAUGUAAAGCCCUAUCAGCAGGGAAGAAAAAAAUGACGG